This 1286-nucleotide ribosomal RNA is filed under the name Salinivibrio costicola subsp. alcaliphilus. RNAcentral's name for it is "bacterial SSU rRNA". It matches the Rfam family "Bacterial small subunit ribosomal RNA", at positions 194 to 1459 of the family's 1533-position model. Lineage: Bacteria; Pseudomonadati; Pseudomonadota; Gammaproteobacteria; Vibrionales; Vibrionaceae. The record is from RNAcentral.
GUCAGGACCAAAGGUGGCCUUUACAUGUAAGCUAUCGCGUUGGGAUGGGCCCAGUUAGGAUUAGCUAGUUGGUAAGGUAAUGGCUUACCAAGGCAACGAUCCUUAGCUGGUUUGAGAGGAUGAUCAGCCACACUGGGACUGAGACACGGCCCAGACUCCUACGGGAGGCAGCAGUGGGGAAUAUUGCACAAUGGGGGAGACCCUGAUGCAGCCAUGCCGCGUGUGUGAAGAAGGCCUUCGGGUUGUAAAGCACUUUCAGCAGUGAGGAAGGUCGUGUACUUAAUACGUGCACGGCUUGACGUUAGCUGCAGAAGAAGCACCGGCUAACUCCGUGCCAGCAGCCGCGGUAAUACGGAGGGUGCGAGCGUUAAUCGGAAUUACUGGGCGUAAAGCGCAUGCAGGCGGUUUGUUAAGUCAGAUGUGAAAGCCCGGGGCUCAACCUCGGAACCGCAUUUGAAACUGGCAGGCUAGAGUCUUGUAGAGGGGGGUAGAAUUUCAGGUGUAGCGGUGAAAUGCGUAGAGAUCUGAAGGAAUACCAGUGGCGAAGGCGGCCCCCUGGACAAAGACUGACGCUCAGAUGCGAAAGCGUGGGUAGCAAACAGGAUUAGAUACCCUGGUAGUCCACGCCGUAAACGCUGUCUACUUGGAGGUUGAGGUUUUAGACUUUGGCUUUCGGCGCUAACGCAUUAAGUAGACCGCCUGGGGAGUACGGCCGCAAGGUUAAAACUCAAAUGAAUUGACGGGGGCCGGCACAAGCGGUGGAGCAUGUGGUUUAAUUCGAUGCAACGCGAAGAACCUUACUUACUCUUGACAUCCAGCGAAGCCUUUAGAGAUAGAGGCGUGCCUUCGGGAGCGCUGAGACAGGUGCUGCAUGGCUGUCGUCAGCUCGUGUUGUGAAAUGUUGGGUUAAGUCCCGCAACGAGCGCAACCCUUAUCCUUGUUUGCCAGCACAUAAUGGUGGGAACUCCAGGGAGACUGCCGGUGAUAAACCGGAGGAAGGUGGGGACGACGUCAAGUCAUCAUGGCCCUUACGAGUAGGGCUACACACGUGCUACAAUGGCAGAUACAGAGGGCAGCGAGACAGCGAUGUUUAGCGAAUCCCUUAAAGUUUGUCGUAGUCCGGAUUGGAGUCUGCAACUCGACUCCAUGAAGUCGGAAUCGCUAGUAAUCGUGGAUCAGAAUGCCACGGUGAAUACGUUCCCGGGCCUUGUACACACCGCCCGUCACACCAUGGGAGUGGGCUGCACCAGAAGUAGAUAGCUUAACAUUCGGGAGGGCGUUUACCA